GACGAACGCUGGCGGCGUGCUUAACACAUGCAAGUCGAACGGAAAGGCCCUGCUUUUGUGGGGUGCUCGAGUGGCGAACGGGUGAGUAACACGUGAGUAACCUGCCCUUGACUUUGGGAUAACUUCAGGAAACUGGGGCUAAUACCGGAUAGGAGCUCCUGCUGCAUGGUGGGGGUUGGAAAGUUUCGGCGGUUGGGGAUGGACUCGCGGCUUAUCAGCUUGUUGGUGGGGUAGUGGCUUACCAAGGCUUUGACGGGUAGCCGGCCUGAGAGGGUGACCGGCCAAAUUGGGACUGAGAUACGGCCCAGACUCCUACGGGAGGCAGCAGUGGGGAAUAUUGCACAAUGGGCGGAAGCCUGAUGCAGCAACGCCGUGUGCGGGAUGACGGCCUUCGGGUUGUAAACCGCUUUCGCCUGUGACGAAGCGUGAGUGACGGUAAUGGGUAAAGAAGCACCGGCUAACUACGUG
RNAcentral lists this ribosomal RNA (468 nucleotides) under uncultured bacterium. Its description in RNAcentral is "partial 16S ribosomal RNA". It matches the Rfam family "Bacterial small subunit ribosomal RNA", at positions 28 to 507 of the family's 1533-position model. The record is from RNAcentral.